GACGAACGCUGGCGGCGUGCUUAACACAUGCAAGUCGAACGGAAAGGCCCUGCUUUUGUGGGGUGCUCGAGUGGCGAACGGGUGAGUAACACGUGAGUAACCUGCCCUUGACUUUGGGAUAACUUCAGGAAACUGGGGCUAAUACCGGAUAGGAGCUCCUGCUGCAUGGUGGGGGUUGGAAAGUUUCGGCGGUUGGGGAUGGACUCGCGGCUUAUCAGCUUGUUGGUGGGGUAGUGGCUUACCAAGGCUUUGACGGGUAGCCGGCCUGAGAGGGUGACCGGCCACAUUGGGACUGAGAUACGCCCAGACUCCUACGGGAGGCAGCAGUGGGGAAUAUUGCACAAUGGGCGGAAGCCUGAUGCAGCAACGCCGCGUGCGGGAUGACGGCCUUCGGGUUGUAAACCGCUUUCGCCUGUGACGAAGCGUGAGCGACGGUAAUGGGUAAAGAAGCACCGGCUAACUACGUG
This 467-nucleotide ribosomal RNA is filed under the name uncultured bacterium. Its description in RNAcentral is "partial 16S ribosomal RNA". It matches the Rfam family "Bacterial small subunit ribosomal RNA", at positions 28 to 507 of the family's 1533-position model. The record is from RNAcentral.